UUGAACGCUGGCGGCAUGCCCUACACAUGCAAGUCGAACGGCAGCAUGAUCUAGCUUGCUAGAUUGAUGGCGAGUGGCGAACGGGUGAGUAAUACAUCGGAACGUGCCCUGUAGUGGGGGAUAACUAGUCGAAAGAUUAGCUAAUACCGCAUACGACCUGAGGGUGAAAGUGGGGGACCGCAAGGCCUCAUGCUAUAGGAGCGGCCGAUGUCUGAUUAGCUAGUUGGUGAGGUAAAGGCUCACCAAGGCGACGAUCAGUAGCUGGUCUGAGAGGACGAUCAGCCACACUGGGACUGAGACACGGCCCAGACUCCUACGGGAGGCAGCAGUGGGGAAUUUUGGACAAAGGGCGAAAGCCUGAUCCAGCAAUGCCGCGUGUGUGAAGAAGGCCUUCGGGUUGUAAAGCACUUUUGUCCGGAAAGAAAUGGCUCUGGUUAAUACCUGGGGUCGAUGACGGUACCGGAAGAAUAAGGACCGGCUAACUACGUG
This 489-nucleotide ribosomal RNA is filed under the name uncultured bacterium. RNAcentral describes it as "partial 16S ribosomal RNA". It matches the Rfam family "Bacterial small subunit ribosomal RNA", at positions 30 to 507 of the family's 1533-position model. The record is from RNAcentral.